RNAcentral lists this ribosomal RNA (227 nucleotides) under uncultured bacterium. RNAcentral describes it as "partial 16S ribosomal RNA". It matches the Rfam family "Bacterial small subunit ribosomal RNA", at positions 109 to 334 of the family's 1533-position model. The record is from RNAcentral.
AGUAACGCGUGAGGAACCUGCCUCAAAGAGGGGACGAACAGUUGGAAACGACUGCUAAUACCGCAUAAGCCCACGGCUCGGCAUCGAGCAGAGGGAAAAGGAGCAAUCCGCUUUGAGAUGGCCUCGCGUCCGAUUAGCUAGUUGGUGAGGUAACGGCCCACCAAGGCGACGAUCGGUAGCCGGACUGAGAGGUUGAACGGCCACAUUGGGACUGAGACACGGCCCAG